Molecule: non-coding RNA, 1276 nt
Organism: Leptonychotes weddellii (Weddell seal)
Lineage: Eukaryota; Metazoa; Chordata; Mammalia; Carnivora; Phocidae
Source: RefSeq, a predicted model, not a curated record
AACCCUCAGCUGUCACACUGGUUAUAAAUCCAGAUGAUGUUCCCGUAAAGAGGGGAGAGGAUGUUACUGCGGCUGCCUAUUCUGAGCUCCUCCUGCAGACCUCCAGGAAAGUUCAGACCAGAAGUCCGAACUCAAGAUGUCAGCAGGGCCUCUUGGGGAGAGUGCUUCUUGGCCUAGUUUGCCAGCAAGCCUUGGCAUUCCGUGAUCCCACAGGAAGCCCCUUCUGCAAAAAGGGUGAAAAUAAAUCUCACCUCAUGAAGUCGUUCUCCGGAUUCCAUGGGACUGUACCUCGCACAGUGCCUGGCACACGAGGCGCUCUCUUGCCUUGCCUCCCUCUGCCUGCCUCCCCAGGCUGCCACUCCCUGCGGCAGGAGGACCGCCGAGCCUCCGUGAGGCCUGAGGGAAUGGACGGUCUGGCUUCUUGGGCGGCGGAGCUCCCAGCCUUUUCCAGGCCCCGGGCCCUGUAUGAUGUCAGCCACGGAACUUCACCAACACGUGGAUCUUUCCAAUCAGCCCUUCUCCCGUUAAAUAGGCAUUUUUAUAUUUUCAUUGGACAUACAUUAGUCACGGAGAAUUUUUACAGCCCAUGUUUUAGAGCGCGGCGGUCUGGGCUGUAAAGAUACAAUCGGCUCUGAUAGGAGACGGUUUCUCUGGCGCUAAAGGGGGGCUGGCGUGGUGGCGGCAUGAUUGGAGCUCUAAGUGUCUGAAAUGACUGUGGCUAAGUCCCCAGAGCCACAAGUCAAUCAACCGCUCCAAACGGGAAACUCAACAGUGAGUGUUAAAAAGAGGGGGGAUGAUGAAAAUGAAAAAAGAAAAACAUUCAAGAGGGAAUUGAAUUUUGGAGUCACUUGAUGGAAGUUUUAAAAAUGAACAGUAACAGCCCCCAAAAGUGCAUCUUCUCUACCCGGCUGAAGAAGAGAGGGUUUGCUUUCUGGGAUUCUGGAAGACUCUUUCCAAGUUACUUCUUUCUUCUCUUCUUUCCCUCUGUCCCUCCCUUUUUCCCCACGAAUGUUUCCUGAGCACCUACUAUGUCAGGUACUGCGUGAGUCACUGGGGAUAAUAUAACAGUGAAUAAGGCAGAUGGUGUCCCUGCUCUUCUGGAGUUUAUAUAUUUCGCACACAUACCAGAGGACGCAUGGAACAGUUUCCUGUUGCCCCAGCAACGAUGACCAAGGCCAAAGCUAUAGGCAAAAGCAUCAAGUACCCCACAUUCUCUUUUUUUUAAAUCCCACAGAGGUUGUCCCAUGAUGGGGCCCCCGAGGACUGCAGACCUGUA